RNAcentral lists this ribosomal RNA (486 nucleotides) under uncultured bacterium. RNAcentral describes it as "partial 16S ribosomal RNA". It matches the Rfam family "Bacterial small subunit ribosomal RNA", at positions 30 to 507 of the family's 1533-position model. The record is from RNAcentral.
AUUGAACGCUGGCGGCAUGCCUUACACAUGCAAGUCGAACGGCAGCACGGGUGCUUGCACCUGGUGGCGAGUGGCGAACGGGUGAGUAAUCCAUCGGAACAUGUCCUGUAGUGGGGGAUAGCCCGGCGAAAGCCGGAUUAAUACCGCAUACGAUCUACGGAUGAAAGCGGGGGACCUUCGGGCCUCGCGCUAUAGGGUUGGCCGAUGGCUGAUUAGCUAGUUGGUGGGGUAAAGGCCUACCAAGGCGACGAUCAGUAGCUGGUCUGAGAGGACGACCAGCCACACUGGGACUGAGACACGGCCCAGACUCCUACGGGAGGCAGCAGUGGGGAAUUUUGGACAAUGGGCGAAAGCCUGAUCCAGCAAUGCCGCGUGUGUGAAGAAGGCCUUCGGGUUGUAAAGCACUUUUGUCCGGAAAGAAAUCCUUGGCCCUAAUACGGUCGGGGGAUGACGGUACCGGAAGAAUAAGCACCGGCUAACUACGUG